This 85-nucleotide transfer RNA is filed under the name Candidatus Buchananbacteria bacterium RBG_13_36_9. Its description in RNAcentral is "tRNA-Leu". It matches the Rfam family "tRNA". Rfam says of the family: Transfer RNA (tRNA) molecules are approximately 80 nucleotides in length. Their secondary structure includes four short double-helical elements and three loops (D, anti-codon, and T loops). Lineage: Bacteria; Candidatus Buchananiibacteriota. The record is from RNAcentral.
GCGCGGGUGUUGAAACCGGUAGACAAGCAGGCUUGAGGUGCCUGUGCCGCAAGGCGUGGAGGUUCGAGUCCUCUCCCGCGCACCC